RNAcentral lists this ribosomal RNA (330 nucleotides) under uncultured Methanomicrobiales archaeon. RNAcentral describes it as "bacterial SSU rRNA". It matches the Rfam family "Archaeal small subunit ribosomal RNA", at positions 1023 to 1352 of the family's 1478-position model. Lineage: Archaea; Methanobacteriati; Methanobacteriota; Methanomicrobia; Methanomicrobiales. The record is from RNAcentral.
ACCGUCGACAGUCAGGUAACGAGCGAGACCCACGCCAACAGUUGCCAGCUCGUCCUCCGGGAUGGAGGGGACACUGUUGGGACCGCCUCUGCUAAAGAGGAAGAAGGAAUGGGCAACGGUAGGUCAGCAUGCCCCGAAUUAUCUGGGCUACACGCGGGCUACAAUGGGUGGGACAAUGGGUAUCGACACCGAAAGGUGAAGGCAAUCUCCUAAACCCAUCCUUAGUUCGGAUUGUGGGCUGCAACUCGCCCACAUGAAGCUGGAAUCCGUAGUAAUCGUGUCUCAAAAUGGCACGGUGAAUAAGUCCCUGCUCCUUGCACGAAUUCGCCG